AGAGAAACUCUUUUCUGCACAAAAAGAGGAUGAAACUCUCACCACCGCUUUUAACUCAGUUAUCUCUUCUGAUCUGGCUAAGGGUAAGCAGAAUGCUUAUUUUAUUGACAAUGGCUUGUUGCUUCGAAAAUGGUGUGCAUCACCAAAGCAAGAUUCUGAUUGGGAUGUUUCUUAUCAGAUUGUGGUUCCUGUACUAUAUCGACCACAUGUGCUAUGUUUAGCGCAUGAUUAUCCACUUUCAGGACAUCUUGGAGUUAGGAAAACUUAUAGUCGGAUCUUAAAGCAUUUUUUUUUGGCCAGGACUGAAAAAGGAUGUCGUUUUCUAUUGUCUUUCUUGUCACACAUGUCAAGUUGUGGGAAAACCAAACCAGGUUAUUCCACCUGUUCCACUGAAACCAAUCCCUGUGCUAGGAGAUCUGUUUGAACACGUAUUAGUAGACUUUGUUGGCCCUUUGCCAAAAACGAAAAGUGGUAAUCAAUUUUUACUUACUGUGAUGUGCUUAUCUACUAGGUUUCCAGAGGCGAUUCCUCUAAGAAAAAUUCCGACACCGAGCAUUGUGAAAGCACUUGUGAGAUUUUUCUCGACAUUUGGUUUGCCUAAAAUUGUGCAAAGUGACCAAGGUACACAUUUUAUGGCCAAUGUAUUUAAGCAGGUAAUGAAAACCCCUAUCGAUUACCCAUCGCACGUCUAGCGCCUAUCAUCCGGAGAGUCAAGGUGUGCUGGAAAGAUUUCACCAGACACUGAAAUCUAUGAAAAUCUAUGAAAUCUAUGCGAAAGUACUGUCUAGAGACAGGUAAUGAUUGGGACGAGGGAAUACCUUUGUUGAUGUUUGCUGUAAGAGAAAGUGUGCUGGAAUCUCUUGGAUUCAGCCCUGCUGAACUGGUAUUUGGGCACCAGGUAUGUGGUCCUUUGAAGGUUUUAAAAGACAACAUUUUGGAAAAUGAUGUCAGUGCAAAAACAAAUUUACUGAACUAUGUGACAAAAUUCCGAGAACACUUGAAUAAAGUUUGUUCGUUAGCUAAAGAAUCUCUCGCUAAUGCACAACAAGGAAUGAAACGUAACUUUGACAGAAAGGCUGUUACGCGCUCUUUUAUGCCUGGAGACUCUGUUCUCGUAUGUUUACCAGUCCCCGGAUCUUCACUUUCUGCUCGUUUCUUUGGUCCUUAUGAGGUGAAAGAGAAAAUUAACGAAACAAACUAUGUGAUCUGUACUCCUGACAGAAAAUGGAAGAUGCGUAUCUGUCAUGUGAACAUGUUGAAAUUAUAUCAUGUUAGAGUUCAACCUGAGACAAACGCUGUUAAAGCUGUCAAAUCUCCAGUUAUUUCAGUUGCAGCCAUGACAGAGAUGAUGCCUGUAACUGAUUUACGUAAAUGAUGAUCUGAAGAUGAUGGAGUAAUUUUUAGAAAUAUUCCUCAAGCUACUGUGAGAUUGACGAAUUCUGAAAUUUUAAAAGAUCUUAGCUCGUAUUUUAAAAACUUGAAUGAAAACCAGAAAAAUGAUCUUAUUCAGCUUUUUUCAGAUUUUGAAUGCUUGUUUAAGGAUGUGCCAACACUGACAAAUGUUUUGCACCAUGACAUUGAUGUUAAAGAUGCUCGACUGAUUAAACAACAUGCGUACAGAGUUAAUCAUUUGAAGCAUUUGGUAAUAGGUCAGGAAGUUGACUAUUUAUUGGAAAAUGGUCUCGCAAAAGCAAGCUGUAGUCCUUGGAGUUCACCAUGCAUUUUAGUUCCAAAACCAGGUGGUUCUUUUAGAUUCUGCACUGAUUUUAGGAAAGUGAAUGCAGUCACUGUGCCUGACAGCUAUCCACUUCCUUGAAUGGAAGAUUGUGUCAAUAACGUUGGUUUUGCACAGUUUGUAAGUAAGUUAGACAUGCUAAAAGGCUAUUGGCACUCCCGAUUCAUUUCUGCAGUACACUGCGAUGGCUUUUGGGCUCAGAAAUGCACCGGCCACGUUUCAAAGGCUUGUUAAUAUGAAUUUAACUGAUUAACUGAUGCCAAAUUGUAGUGCCUAUUUGGAUGAUUUGGUGGUUUAUUCCAAAGAUUGGAGUGAACAUAUUAAGUCACUUCGAAUGGUAUUUGAGCGCUUGGCAAAAGCCUUAUUAACACUUAAUUUAGCCAAGUGUGAAUUUGGUCAAGCGACGGUAACCUAUCUUGGAAAAGAGGUGGGGCACGGUCAAGUUCGUCCAGUUAAAGCUAAAGUGAUGGCUAUUUCAGAUUUCCCUGUUCCUAAUACUCAACGAGAACUUCAAAGAUUUUUGGGAAUGGUUGGAUACUAUCGAAGUUUUUGUAGGAAUUUUUCAUCUGUGGUUAGUCCUCUCACUUCUUUGUUAAGCCCUUCGAAAUCUUUUGUGUGGAAUGCUGAGCGUCAGUAUGCGUUCGAAAGUGUGAAAGCUUUUGUGCAAUUCACCUGUUUUCCAUGCUCCUAACUAUGAACGUUCUUUUCAGCUUGAAGUGGAUGCUAGUAAUGUUGGAGCUGGAGCUGUUCUUCUGCAGGAAGACGAAAAAGACAAGGAAGGAGUGGAAGAAUUUAGAAUGCUGAGUGGAAAGAAGCCAUAAUGAAUGACCAAACAGGGGAAGCAUGCAGUUACAAAUAUGAUAGACAGCC
Long non-coding RNA from Sinocyclocheilus anshuiensis, 2605 nucleotides. RefSeq lists it as uncharacterized. The transcript is spliced from 3 exons. NCBI's taxonomy places the organism in Eukaryota, Metazoa, Chordata, Actinopteri, Cypriniformes, Cyprinidae. The record is from RefSeq and is a predicted model, not a curated record.